RNAcentral lists this ribosomal RNA (492 nucleotides) under uncultured bacterium. RNAcentral's name for it is "partial 16S ribosomal RNA". It matches the Rfam family "Bacterial small subunit ribosomal RNA", at positions 29 to 507 of the family's 1533-position model. The record is from RNAcentral.
AGUGAACGCUGGCGGUAGGCCUAACACAUGCAAGUCGAACGGCAGCACAGUAAGAGCUUGCUCUUACGGGUGGCGAGUGGCGGACGGGUGAGGAAUACAUCGGAAUCUACUUUUUCGUGGGGGAUAACGUAGGGAAACUUACGCUAAUACCGCAUACGACAUACGGGUGAAAGCAGGGGGUCUUCGGACCUUGCGCGAUUGAAUGAGCCGAUGUCGGAUUAGCUAGUUGGCGGGGUAAAGGCCCACCAAGGCGACGAUCCGUAGCUGGUCUGAGAGGAUGAUCAGCCACACUGGAACUGAGACACGGUCCAGACUCCUACGGGAGGCAGCAGUGGAGAAUAUUGGACAAUGGGCGCAAGCCUGAUCCAGCCAUACCGCGUGGGUGAAGAAGGCCUUCGGGUUGUAAAGCCCUUUUGUUGGGAAAGAAAAGCAGCAGGUUAAUACCCCGCUGUUCUGACGGUACCCAAAGAAUAAGCACCGGCUAACUUCGUG